UACGUAGGUGGCAAGCGUUGUCCGGAUUUACUGGGCGUAAAGCGCACGUAGUCGGCUUUGCAAGUCGGGUGUGAAAUCCCCGGGCUCAACCUGGGAACUGCAUCCGAGACUGCAUUGCUAGAGUACGGGAGAGGGAAGCGGAAUUUCUGGUGUAGCAGUGAAAUGCGUAGAUAUCAGAAGGAACAUCAGUGGCGAAGGCGGCUUCCUGGACCAAUACUGACGAUCAGGUGCGAAAGCGUGGGGAGCAAACAGG
RNAcentral lists this ribosomal RNA (253 nucleotides) under uncultured bacterium. RNAcentral's name for it is "partial 16S ribosomal RNA". It matches the Rfam family "Bacterial small subunit ribosomal RNA", at positions 524 to 776 of the family's 1533-position model. The record is from RNAcentral.